Molecule: ribosomal RNA, 494 nt
Filed under: uncultured bacterium
Lineage: Bacteria
Description: partial 16S ribosomal RNA
Rfam family: Bacterial small subunit ribosomal RNA
Source: RNAcentral
GACGAACGCUGGCGGCGUGCCUAAUACAUGCAAGUCGAACGGUUUAGUUCCAAGAGGCUUGCCUUUUGGAACUAGACAGUGGCGGACGGGUGAGUAACACGUAGGCAACCUACCUGUCAAACCGGGAUAACCUCGGGAAACCGAAGCUAAACCCGGAUAAGCUCCUUUUUCGCAUGAAGGGGGAGUGAAAAGGUGCGACCUGAUGACAGAUGGGCCUGCGGCGCAUUCGCUAGUAGGUAGGGUAACGGCCUACCUAGGCGAUGAUGCGUAGCCGACCUGAGAGGGCGUACGGCCACACUGGGACUGAGAUACGGCCCAGACUCCUACGGGAGGCAGCAGUAGGGAAUCUUCGGCAAUGGGCGAAAGCCUGACCGAGCAACGCCGCGUGAGUGAGGAAGGCCUUCGGGGUGUAAAACUCUGUUGUUUGGGAAGAAGGGAAAGGGUAGGACCCUUUGGUGACGGUACCAAACGAGAAAGCCCCGGCUAACUACGUG